UGGGGAAUUUUGGACAAUGGGCGAAAGCCUGAUCCAGCAAUGCCGCGUGUGUGAAGAAGGCCUUCGGGUUGUAAAGCACUUUUGUCCGGAAAGAAAUCCUCUGGGUUAAUACCUCGGGGGGAUGACGGUACCGGAAGAAUAAGCACCGGCUAACUACGUGCCAGCAGCCGCGGUAAUACGUAGGGUGCAAGCGUUAAUCGGAAUUACUGGGCGUAAAGCGUGCGCAGGCGGUUUUGUAAGACGGAUGUGAAAUCCCCGGGCUUAACCUGGGAACUGCAUUCGUGACUGCAAGGCUAGAGUAUGGCAGAGGGGGGUAGAAUUCCACGUGUAGCAGUGAAAUGCGUAGAGAUGUGGAGGAAUACCGAUGGCGAAGGCAGCCCCCUGGGCCAAUACUGACGCUCAUGCACGAAAGCGUGGGGGGCAAACAGGAUUAGAUACCCUGGUAGUCCACGCCCUAAACGAUGUCAACUAGGUUGUUGGGGAUUCAUUUCCUUAGUAACGUAGCUAACGCGUGAAGUUGACCGCCUGGGGAGUACGGUCGCAAGAUUAAAACUCAAAUGAAUUGACGGGGUCAUAGCUGUUUCCU
This 586-nucleotide ribosomal RNA is filed under the name uncultured bacterium. RNAcentral describes it as "partial 16S ribosomal RNA". It matches the Rfam family "Bacterial small subunit ribosomal RNA", at positions 355 to 1375 of the family's 1533-position model. The record is from RNAcentral.